This 357-nucleotide ribosomal RNA is filed under the name Stichopogon tridactylophagus. Its description in RNAcentral is "partial small subunit ribosomal RNA". Lineage: Eukaryota; Metazoa; Arthropoda; Insecta; Diptera; Asilidae. The record is from RNAcentral.
GAAAAUUUAUAUAUUAAACUAGGAUUAGAUACCCUAUUAGUGCMAUGUAUUUAUUAAAAUGCCUAGGUAGUAUUAGUUAUGGUCUUGAAACUUAAAAAAUUUGGCGGUAUUUUAGUUCAUUCAGAGGAACCUGUCAUGUAAUCGAUAGUCCACGUUGAACCUUACUUACUUUUGUUUUUCAGUUUGUAUACCGCCGUUAUUGAAUAUUUUAUAAGAACAAUAAUUUUCACUUUUUUUGAUGUAGAAAUUUAUAUCAGGUCAAGGUGCAGUUUAUGGGUAAGUAUAGAUGGGUUACAAUAAAAUUUUUUUUGAUGUUUAACUUAAUUUAAAUGUUAUNNNNNNNNNNNGUUAGUAAGU